UUUCUCGAAAAUAAAAGAUCUAUAAUAUUUUGUUGUUCUUUGUAUCAAUAAGGUCAAUAAAAGUAUUAUAGGGGUGAAACGUUAAACGGUUUUAUUAAUAUCUAGUAAUCUCAGAAAUAAAUUUAGUUUAGGAAAAUAAGAUAAUUUUUUUAUUUAAUUUUUUCUUAAAUUCUAGGGGAUGAGCUCUAGAAUUAAAUUACAAAGAAAGUUAAAAAUAUUUUUAUAAUAGGCUUAGAAUUAGCCAUGAAAAAUUGUUAUAAAAUAUUAAGUUAAAGACAUAUGAUUUUUUUACUUUUAGUUUUUUAUGGGAUUAUUAAUGUAAUGAAGUAUAAUGAGAAAAUAUGAUAAUAUUAGUAGAUUAAAUUUUGAAUGAUUCUUAAUUAUUUUUAUAAAAUUGUAUGAUAAAAGAACUCGGCAAGUAUGAUUUCCGAAUGUUUAACAAAAACAUUUCCUCUUAGUUUUGGAGGUAAAGCCUGCUCACUGAAUAAUUAAAGAGCCGCAGUAUUUUGACUGUGCUAAGGUAGCAUAAUCAUUAGUCUUUUAAUUGAGGACUGGUAUGAAUGGCUAAACGAGAAAUUUCCUUUUUUUAUCGUAUAUAUAGAAUUUAUUUUUUUAGUGAAAAAACUUAAAUGUUCCUGAAAGACGAGAAGACCCUAUAGAGUUUUAUAUGGUAAGUUAUCACGUUGUAUUUGGUUUUUAUCGAUGUGGUUAUAUGCCAUAAUUUGUUGGGGCGACAUUAAGAUAAAAAAAACUCUUUUUUAAAUAAACUUUAAUGAAUGAAUAGUUUGAUCCUUAAAAAAAGAUAAUAAGAAAAAUUACCUUAGGGAUAACAGCGUAAUCUUUUUUGAGAGUUCUUAUCGACAAAAAGGUUUGCGACCU
Molecule: ribosomal RNA, 879 nt
Filed under: Chinochthamalus scutelliformis
Lineage: Eukaryota; Metazoa; Arthropoda; Thecostraca; Balanomorpha; Chthamalidae
Description: partial 16S ribosomal RNA
Rfam family: Archaeal large subunit ribosomal RNA (bases 424-577)
Source: RNAcentral